GACGAAGGUGGCAACCGUUGUUCGGAAUCACUGGGCAUAAAGAGCACGUAGGCGGGCAUGUAAGUCGGGUGUGAAAUCCCUCGGCCCAACCGAGGAACUGCGCCCGAUACUGCGUGUCUUGAGGGCAGGAGGGGAGCGCGGAAUUCCUGGUGGAGCGGUGAAAUGCGUUGAUAUCAGGAGGAACACCGGCGGCGAAGGCGGCGCUCUGGCCUGUUGCUGACGCUGAGGUGCGAAAGCCAGGGGAGCAAACGGG
Molecule: unclassified non-coding RNA, 253 nt
Filed under: uncultured Planctomycetota bacterium
Lineage: Bacteria; Pseudomonadati; Planctomycetota
Description: uncultured planctomycete contains 16S-23S intergenic spacer region
Rfam family: Bacterial small subunit ribosomal RNA
Source: RNAcentral